UUAAGUUCAGCGGGUAUCCCUACCUGAUCCGAGGUCAACCUGAAGAAAUUGGGGGUUAUUGGCAAGUAACCACCUGGAUCUCCAAAGCGAGAAGAAUUACUACGCUUGAAGCCAAAUGGCACCGCCACUGAUUUUAAGACCUGCCAGAAACUGGCAAUGUCCAACACCAAGCUGAGCUUGAAGGUUUAAAUGACGCUCGA
Molecule: unclassified non-coding RNA, 200 nt
Filed under: uncultured Thelebolus
Lineage: Eukaryota; Fungi; Ascomycota; Leotiomycetes; Thelebolales; Thelebolaceae
Description: sequence contains ITS2
Source: RNAcentral